Molecule: long non-coding RNA, 632 nt
Filed under: Trifolium pratense (red clover)
Lineage: Eukaryota; Viridiplantae; Streptophyta; Magnoliopsida; Fabales; Fabaceae
Description: long non-coding RNA (TPRA_LNC006310)
Source: RNAcentral
UCACCACUAAUAAAAAUGUUGGAACCCUAAUUUUUAUCACUCUCUAAGUACUUCGUUCUUCUAUACCUCGGUUUCUCUCUGCCUGCGGCUGAGUAUUCCAAACGAUUUAACAUUCUCUGAUUCUGUUCGGUUCCUUCAGCUUCCAAGAAAAAGAACAACAAAAGGUAAUUUUAUCUUCUACAUUUUUUGUGUGCUUUCUUCUUACAUUAUCAUAUUAUUAUUAAUAUUUUAAAAAUUUUAAAAUCCCAAUCCAUUUCUUCAAGUCACUGAUUUCUUCUAAUUUUGUUUUUGUCUCCAAACAGAUCUAUGAAUGAGGCAACAAAACACCUUUGUUAUGCUUGGUUGGCUCUAUUGUUUGUAAUGUCCAACCAUCUCCGACUGUAAUUUCUUUGAUUAAAACAAAGGUAUUAAUAUAUUUUUUUUACAAGAAUUAUUUAUUUUUGGUAUGAGUUAUUAUUUAUUAUUAUUUAGAUUAAAUAUGUUUUUAGAUUUUAUAAAAUUAGAUUCUUUAAGAUAUAAAAAUAAAUAAAAAUUAUGUUAUUUUAAGGUACUUUAUUUAAUUAUAUUCUGAAUAAUGAUAAAAUAUUCAACUCGAGCAGAAUGAGGUUGAUCACCAAUCACCGAAUAUUGAG